AAUCAACGCUGGCGGCGUGCCUAACACAUGCAAGUCGAACGCGAAAGUCCCGCAAGGGACAAGUAGAGUGGCAAACGGGUGAGUAACGCGUGGGUGACCUGCCUUCGAGCGGGGGAUAACGUUCCGAAAGGGACGCUAAUACCGCAUAACAUUCCGUCUUUGAAGAGAUGGAAAUCAAAGCUGGGGAUCGCAAGACCUGGCACUCGAAGAGGGGCCCGCGUCCGAUUAGCUAGUUGGUGAGGUAACGGCUCACCAAGGCAUCGAUCGGUAGCCGGCCUGAGAGGGCGGACGGCCACACUGGGACUGAGACACGGCCCAGACUCCUACGGGAGGCAGCAGUGGGGAAUUGUUCGCAAUGGGCGCAAGCCUGACGACGCAACGCCGCGUGGAGGAUGAAGAUUUUCGGAUCGUAAACUCCUGUCGAAUGGGACGAAAAGGUUGCGGGUGAACACCCCGUAAUCCUGACGGUACCGUUAAAGGAAACCCCGGCUAACUCCGUGC
This 501-nucleotide ribosomal RNA is filed under the name uncultured bacterium. RNAcentral describes it as "bacterial SSU rRNA". It matches the Rfam family "Bacterial small subunit ribosomal RNA", at positions 32 to 508 of the family's 1533-position model. The record is from RNAcentral.